This 336-nucleotide unclassified non-coding RNA is filed under the name Tremellodendropsidales sp. RNAcentral describes it as "partial contains 5.8S ribosomal RNA, internal transcribed spacer 2, and large subunit ribosomal RNA". The stretch from base 1 to 71 matches the Rfam family "5.8S ribosomal RNA", at positions 84 to 154 of the family's 154-position model. The record is from RNAcentral. Lineage: Eukaryota; Fungi; Basidiomycota; Agaricomycetes; Tremellodendropsidales.
GUGAAUCAUCGAAUCUUUGAACGCACCUUGCACCCCUUGGUAUUCCGAGGGGUAUGCCUGUUCGAGCGUCAUGAAACUCUCAAACCGUGACUUCAUCGUCACGGGUUUGGAUUUGGACGUUGCUGGACGUUCUCGUUCGGCUCGUCUCAAACGCAUUAGCUGGCUCUAUCGACCUCAGUUAAUCGGCGUGAUAAUCACAUCUACGUCGAAAGCCGUGAGGCUGCUGGGAUCGAUCAUGGGAGCAGGCUCAUAAUCGUCUCGGGACAAUUCCUUCAUGUUUGGCCUCGAAUCAGGUAGGACUACCCGCUGAACUUAAGCAUAUCAAUAAGCGGAGGA